AGUUGUGUAGUGUAGUGGUUUGAGUGUUGGACUAUGAUUCUGGAGAACAGGGUUCAAUUCCCAGCUCAGCGG
RNAcentral lists this transfer RNA (72 nucleotides) under Phrynosoma platyrhinos (Desert horned lizard). Its description in RNAcentral is "tRNA-OTHER". Lineage: Eukaryota; Metazoa; Chordata; Lepidosauria; Squamata; Phrynosomatidae. The record is from RNAcentral.